RNAcentral lists this ribosomal RNA (666 nucleotides) under uncultured beta proteobacterium. RNAcentral's name for it is "bacterial SSU rRNA". It matches the Rfam family "Bacterial small subunit ribosomal RNA", at positions 61 to 719 of the family's 1533-position model. Lineage: Bacteria; Pseudomonadati; Pseudomonadota; Betaproteobacteria. The record is from RNAcentral.
GUCGAACGGCAGCACGGGUGCUUGCACCUGGUGGCGAGUGGCGAACGGGUGAGUAAUACAUCGGAACAUGUCCUGUAGUGGGGGAUAGCCCGGCGAAAGCCCGGAUUAAUACCGCAUACGAUCUACGGAUGAAAGCGGGGGACCUUCGGGCCUCGCGCUAUAGGGUUGGCCGAUGGCUGAUUAGCUAGUUGGUGGGGUAAAGGCCUACCAAGGCGACGAUCAGUAGCUGGUCUGAGAGGACGACCAGCCACACUGGGACUGAGACACGGCCCAGACUCCUACGGGAGGCAGCAGUGGGGAAUUUUGGACAAUGGGCGAAAGCCUGAUCCAGCAAUGCCGCGUGUGUGAAGAAGGCCUUCGGGUUGUAAAGCACUUUUGUCCGGAAAGAAAUCCUUGGUUCUAAUAUAGCCGGGGGAUGACGGUACCGGAAGAAUAAGCACCGGCUAACUACGUGCCAGCAGCCGCGGUAAUACGUAGGGUGCGAGCGUUAAUCGGAAUUACUGGGCGUAAAGCGUGCGCAGGCGGUUUGCUAAGACCGAUGUGAAAUCCCCGGGCUCAACCUGGGAACUGCAUUGGUGACUGGCAGGCUAGAGUAUGGCAGAGGGGGGUAGAAUUCCACGUGUAGCAGUGAAAUGCGUAGAGAUGUGGAGGAAUACCGAUGGCGAA